This is a non-coding RNA of Oryza nivara, 204 nucleotides long. NCBI's taxonomy places the organism in Eukaryota, Viridiplantae, Streptophyta, Magnoliopsida, Poales, Poaceae. The record is from Rfam.
UUUAAGCAUAGCCAUGAGUUUCCAUGUUUAAUUUUGAUCGUCCGUCUUAUUUGAAAUUUUUUAUGAUUAAUAUUUUAUUAUUAUUAGAUGAUAAAACAUAAAUAAUACUUUAUGUGUGACUUAUGUUUUUUUUUUAAUUUUUCAAAACAAAAUUCAAAUAAGAUGGACAUGGAAACUUAAAAUGAAACGAAGGGAGUAUAUAAU